GUGUGUAAUCACUAAAGGGAGAAUUGAAAAUAGUUUCAAUUCACAAUCGAUGUAAAAUGGUUUUAAUCACCCACUACCUCGCUAAAAGGAACCUAAUGGAUCGCACACCAUAAAAGGUGGAGAUUGAAGAUUAAACUGAAAUGAGUAAGAAUGAUUAAAUGGUUUAAUCAUUUAUUUAUGGCAAGGAUUAAUUAAUAUGUUAAUUAAUCAAACGAAUAAGUUCGUUAAAGACCUCGGGAUAGUUUUGGACCUUAAGGCCCAAUGGGCUUCGAACGUCAAGCCCAUUGACUUAAGUUGUAUGACAACUUAAUGAAUAAAGAUUCACAAAGGCCCAAAAGCCCAAAAAUCCCAAGGUAGGCCGGCCAUGUAUGAUGAAUUAGGGUUUUGGUUCUUUAGGUCACUUAUUUGAAGGGACUAUAAAAAGGACUUUAUAGCCAUAUAUUCAUUAAGUGAUUAAGGGUUUAUUUUGGGGAAAAUGGGUGAGAAUUGUCUCUCCAUUUUCUCUCUAAAGAGGCCAACACCUUGGAGGGUACAUCUAGCAAUCCUACUACUCCAAGGUCACUCAUUUCUUCUACAAUCAAACCUUGGUGAAGAGACUUAGAGGUUCCCUAUUUUUGGGAACUUGGAGAAACCUAUUUUUCCAUCCAAAUCCAUGGAUCUAAGAAGCAAGGAAUGAAGGCCCUAUCUCUUUGGGUGAUUAGCCUUUGCUUAUGCAAAGAGGAAUCUACAAAGGUAAUAAUUUCAACUCACUUUGUUUUGAGUUGAUUAUUGGUUCACCAAUCUACUAGGCUUUGAAUUUCAUGGUAAUGUUUUGUUUUUGAGUGCAUGCAAGCAUGAUUCCGCCUUUAAUUGUUAAUUGCAUGCUAUAUGAUGUUGCUCAAAUGAACAUGUUUUUCAAAAUAAAUCCUUCAAGUGGUAUCAGAGCCUAGGUCUAGUAGUUGGUGAAUCCUUUUGGGUUUUGUAGUUCACAAGUUUAUGAUUUAAAAGUUGUAAUUGUUACAAGCUUUAUUCUUGCUUCUUUGAAUGUAAAUUUUGUUUGAAAAUUUGCCAUCUCAAAUGUUGUAGAUGUAGUUCAUAUGAGGAUGAAUAUUGGAGCUAAAAUUUGGUGCCAUGAUUUGGGGAUUUUCGGCCAAAUCCAAAGGGUGAUUUUUUGGGUUCAUGUUUGUCUUGUUAAAAAUGUUUUAAGGUGACUUUUGGAACCCCUAAGUACCCUAGGAUGUUAGCAUCAUUUUGAAUGAUGAAAAUUUGAGUUUUUUGGCUUGAAAACAUUCAUGGAGCUCUUAUGGGUUUUCAUGGAUGUUCUUCAUUGUUCUUGAUGUUCUUGCCAAGAACAAAAAGGUUUUGUGUUUUGAUUCAAAGUUUUGAUUAUUUCAUAAAGUUUAUGUUAUAUGUUUUUUCAAAUGAUUUAUCAUGUAUUUAAAAUGUUAGAUAUUUGAUUAAAUAGCAAUAGAAAAAUCUAUCAUCAUUAUGAAAGGUAAAAGAAAAGGUGAUAAGAAUUUUCUUUCUUAUGCACUACUUGAUUGUUUUUUUGACAAAACUAAUAAAUCAAAACACCACCACUCCUUUUAUCCCUAAAAACCGGCCACCCUAAUAAAAUAGGGUAUUUUUGGGGCUUUUAUGCAAUUACAUAAAGUUUUUGAUACUUUUGUGUAUUUGUACUUUGACCCGAAAGUUUACGUUUUGACGUUAAGGCCUAAAAACGCUAAAGGACAAAUUGUUUUUGCUCCUUUAAUGAAGUUUUUGAAUUUAUUUAAAUUUUGGGUUCUAGUUGUAUUUACAUGAAGUAGUGACUUUUGUGUUUUUACAAAGUGACCCCAAAAGUUUAUGUUUUCGCAAUAUGGCCCAAAAGGUUGUGGUUAUUGCAUGAUGGCCCAAAUAGGAUGAGAACAAAAUUGUUUUGUUUCUUUUAAAUGAGAAUUGGAUUUUCAUUUUGUUUUAGCUCCACUUAAAUCAAUUUAUGGAUACAAAAAACCAAAUGAAAAUGUUGCAUUCAAUUAAUUAGUUAAAGCGUUAAUUAAUUAAAGGAUGAUUAUGAACCUAAGCCUAAAAUAAUUGAGCUAUGUGAAAGGCGUUUCAAAUUUGUUUGAACCAUGGGAAUGUGUAGAUUAGAUUUUGGUUGUAAUUUUUGAUUUGAUCAAAUGUUGUAAAAGGGCAUAAGUCCUUCUUUACUUUAAGGUAAUUUGUUUUAUGCAAAUGUUGUAAUGAGCAUAAGCUCAUCCUUUACUUUGAAGUAUUUCUUUCUUGCUUUAUAUGAUAUGCAUGAAAAUGAAGUAAUUCGGUCCAACGCCCCUAAGACAACACGCCUUAAUGUGAUUAAACGCGUAACUAAAAUCAAUCUCCAUCCCUAGACCGAGAUUCAACACAAGGCUCGUGUUGAAUCUAAACAAAGGUUCAUAGUCAUCCUAAGGCCCUAAGGCAACUAUAUAGUCCAUCAAAUGAAUGCAAACCUUAUGUUAGUAGUAACAUAUACUCUUGCUUUAAAAACCGUUUUAAAAGCAUAGUGGGAGUAUUAUGUACAACUAAAACAAUCAUAUGGACCAAUAGUUGUAAUAGGACCAAAAUUGUUUUAAUAGAGAUUAAAAUGUAUAUUGAUAUGUGAUGAGACCUAAAACCCUCAACCAAACCAAUAUUAAGUUGAAAGCGUGAGAGUGCUUUAGAACAUUCUUUCGUGGCCUUCCACCAUGGUAGUUCCAAUCGUUUAUGACUUGUACACCGGCUUCACCCUAUCAUGGGGAAGUACAAAGUGCAUGCUUAUACUCAGGAGGAGUUUAUAUACAUAUGAUGAGGUGAGUGUAGGCAACGAGGAUGGCCAAUAUCGUAUCAUCGUGAGGCUAUUCUUGAAACCCUUCAUGAACUAAGCAUGGUGGGAAUGACUUUAACUAAGUGCAAUGGAACCAAUAUCAUAUCAUUGUGAGGUGACAUUCUCUAGAGGCCAAAUAAGAUGGGUACUUGCAUUAGUUGCAAAUGAGUAAGCGUACUCUCUCAUUAUUAUUAAUGCUAGCCAAUAUCAUAUCAUUGUGAGGUGGGCUUGGUAGUAGUGAGCCUCCCAUAACCUACUAAGAGUUUCAUCCAAAACUCUCGAAUUCCAAUGAGGGAUAUGGAAUUUGCCAAAAAUAGUAGGUGAUGCUAUUUGAUUUAAAGACCCGAAUCAAAUGGCUUAAAAUCAAUCAAUUUAUAUACGUUAUGUAUUUGUUUACCAAUAUAUUUGCAAACGCUAUCCAACACUUGACAAAUAAAAGCCGAACGUUUAGUUUACGGACUUGGUACUACAAAACCAUAGAUUGUCUUUAAUGGCUUGUAAAUGUACCUAAGUAGUCUCAUCCUCACAAUCUUCCUAUUGAUAAUGUAUCAUUAGAAGAAUAUGUUAGAAAAGGUCUAUCAUAGAUAGGACAACACUUUUAAUGUCAUAAUUCUUCAAUUACAAAUUGUUGUAUGAAGAAAUAAGAGUUGCUUUGAACAACCCUUAGUCAAUACAAACACUUAGUGCUUAUUUCUUUGUUAAUUGAACAAAGAACUUGAGAAGUAAGCACAAGGGCAUGGACACUUUAUGUGCCAUGAUUCUUCACUUACAAAUUGUUGUAUGAAGAAAUGAGAGUUGCCUUGUACAACUCUUGAAAGUUUGUAAAUUAUGUUUUAGAACAUAAUGGUUGGUUGACAAAAAUAGUCCAUUAACAUGGACUUAUGAUGAUUUUGAAUCAUUGAGUGUUGAAGUGUUAAACCACUUAACGAGACGGAAACUAGGCAAGGACUUCACCUUUGUUUCCCUAUCCUAAUGGUUCACUAAGUUUAUGGUAAACUAUGUAGUGAACAAUAACCACAUACUCUCCAAAUUGUUUGAUGUGUAUAACACAAUUGAAAAAGGUUUCAAGAGAGAUAGUGGGAGUUUAGGGACCAUGACUAAUGUGUAGUCAAAGGUGAAAGUCAAAUAAAGAAGAUAAAUAACUCCAAGGGAACAAACUUUCUUUAUGAAAGGAUGGACAUUGGAAGGGGUAUUUGCAAGAAAUGUCUUGCAAGUGUCAAGAACACACCUUUCGAAGGUGUUGUAAAUUGUUCUUGAAUAGUUCAAAACAGUUGGUUUUCUUCUACUUGAAUGUAUGAUUCCGUAUUAGUAACUAUGUUUUACAAAUCGUUGUAAAAGUGUGACUAAUAAGAAGUAGAAGAUAUAUGAGAGAAGAAAAGGUGCUUCACAUACGGAACGUGAAUAAGAUAUAGAUCUCUGCGAAAGCAGAUAGUACUUACUUCCUCAUAUGAACUACCAAAGAAAUUGGAUUAUAGUAAUCUAAUUGAUUGUCUCUAUAGUAGAGAUGAUAUGGUAGUGUUAACUGUUUAGAAUAUAAUGAUGCUUAAAACCCAAAAGGUUGCAAGGUAGUGACUAAUCCCAACUAAAUUGUGAUACCUCUAAAACAUAAGUUACGAGUUGGUGAAACAAGGAUGCUUUGGAUCGUUAGAUCCGGAUCCAAUACCUUCUUGUUAAAAUUGUAUAGAGGCGAAAUGUUCGAAUCUUUAUUCUUUUGGAAAGAAGAAAGAAUCACAAAGUUGUUGAGGUUAAUUCACUUAGAUGUUAGUGGCACUUGUCACAACAUAAUACUACUCAUGUUAUAUGACAUUCACCGAAGAUCACUCUCGGUUGGACUAUAGUUUAUUUUGAAUAAACACAAGUCUGAAUACUUUGCAAAAGGUUUCAAAGAAUUCAAGAAAUGUAAAUAGAUGAGUAAGAUAUCUAAAGUAUUUACCUCCUUAGAUUUGAUCCAAGGAAAGGUAACACUUUAGAUGAGUUUCCUUGAAAGAUAUCAAGGAAAAUAGCAUCAUAAGAUAAUGUAUUUCUCCAUUAGGAGAAAGAACGAACUCAAAUAAGAUUUAGUUCGUUAGAUGUUAUCUAUUACCCAUAUAUAUAGGAUAUAUACUUCUAAAACAAUAAGAUUGUCAAUUAGAAGAUCUUCCAAAAUUUUCAUAACUCCAUAAGAUGUAGUUAGAAAGAAAGACAAAUCUUAAGCAUGUUAAAGAUUUGAGGUUGUGUGCUAAUAAGCAAUAUUUGUUUGAUAACAAUCUUGUGGGAUAUCCUUAAAUUAACUUUUGGAUAUCGCUUCUAUAAACCAACUAACAAAUGUUGUUUUGUUGGGUAGUUCAUUGUAAUCCUACAAUGUGAUUUGCCUAAGAGCAAAUGAACGAGAGAUAGAACUCAAAGAAUGGGUUCUUUGAGAGACAAGAAAGUAAUCAACAAAUAUAACAACCUAGUUCCUAUACCAAAGCUCCAAGGUAGUCGAGAAGGAUUUAUAAACCGUCUCAGUUGAAUGGUUUGAACUUUAUGACUAUGUCAUAGAGUUGCACCUCUUAAUUCGAAAGAAAUAAGAAUGAAAAUCCUUAUGACUACAUUGAGUGUAUAUAUGAUAUAUACUCAAGGAAAUGGUAAAGUACCAUUUGACCCGAAAUAAUGAAACCUUCAUAAGCUAAUUGGUAGCUUAAGGUGACUACAAUCAAAGAGAAUGGUUGACUUUGAAGAAACCAUCUUUGAGAUAGUCUUAGUUUCAAUUAAUUCGAAGAUUGCUAGCUACAACUAAAUGGUGAUUCAAUGUUUGGACAUAAUAUGGGUUUCCGAAACCAUUAUUAAGAUAGUCUUGAUAAUAUAUGUCUAAAACUAAAAAUCACAAGACAUGUAAGUUGUAGAGAUCCAUCCAUCAUGAAUCUUAGCAAGCUAGUGGGAGCUAUAUGCGUCUUAUGAGAGAAAGAUCAAAUCGUUUGAUUUCUCAUAAAGAUAUAAAUGAAUCUUUUGUUUACUAGGUUUACAAAAGAUUAGUGGGAGUUAAUCAUGUUCCUAAAAUUAAAAUAUAUAUGAUAUAUUAAUUUUGGAAAUGAAAAGAAUACUUCUUCGUUAAUGUUAUGACUUUAAGCAUUCUAUAAAGAUAGAAUGUAUAUGGGAAACAUAGUCUGUAUACAUGGGAUGGAAAUCUAUAUUGAUAGAUUUUAGGAUAUAAUUGGAUUAUAUCAUACCCUAAUAAUAGACAAAAUAUGCUAGGAAGUCUUUCAUAUGAUGAUAAACUUCAAUUAGGAGGACAAUUCUAGUUGGACUAAGAAGUUGCUCUUCUCAAAGAGAACGUACUCUUUGACUCCCAAAGAAAUAAUGCGUAAAUAGAAUCCUUUAUACAUACGCAGAAAGGUGAUUUAUGUAUUUCAUAUUGUAUGAAAAACAUUGAUAUGAGUUGUACCUAGAACGGUACAAGACGAUAUCAGUGCAAGCCCCGGAUCAGAACCAUGGCAACUGUCAAGUGAGUCCUUAAGUAUUUAAGAAAUACUAAAGGAUAUAUUCCUCAAAGAAUGUUGAAGAAUUAGAGUAACGUAAUGGAAGUGUAAAUGUAUUAGAUCAUAGGAUUGUCAAUUGGGCAUUGACAGUCCGUAAAGAUCGGUACGUACUAUGUCUUCUCUCAGGGAGAGUGAUUAGUCUCGAGUCAUUGGUGUGUGUGACAUCAAGACAAGUACGUAGGUGCUCAAUAGAGAAUGAGUACACUGAACGUGAUCAACGAAGAGUUCUUAUAUUCCAUGUCACAUGAGAACUCAUGGUUGGGAUAAUGCAAAGUAGUCAUUUGACCUGAGGCAUCACAGUUGUCUUGUGGUUAAGUCCUUGAUCUUUGAUUAUGUCAAAGUCACCCUCUCGGGGUGUCCACGGCAUCGUUGGGAUUAAGCCACUUAGCUAUGGAGACAAGUGAAUGCGCAACAAGGGAUCUCUAACCUUCAAACAGUUGAGGGAGAAUACUCUAUGAUAUGAUUUGGAAUCUCUGGCCAGAGUAUGAAUGAGAUUAGGGAAUGCGUUCCAAAUCACAUUCAAGGAAAUCAUAUAAGCACACGAAUCACAUUGGAUAGUAGACAUGAAUAAAUAAACUAUCAUACCAAACAAUGUGGUCAAGAGUAUUAGAUUAGAGAAGGACCGUAUUGCAUUUGUAAUCCCAAACUGAAUAGGUUCUCUAUCCUCUUCUGAUUAGCUUGGGUAACCAUGAUAUGCUGCUAGGUGUCACUCAUGGUUUGUGGAAGCCCUAAACGUGUGUAAUCACUAAAGGGAGAAUUGAAAAUAGUUUCAAUUCACAAUCGAUGUAAAAUGGUUUUAAUCGCCCACUACCUCGCUAAAAGGAACCUAAUGGAUCGCACACCAUAAAAGGUGGAGAUUGAAGAUUAAACUGAAAUGAGUAAGAAUGAUUAAAUGGUUUAAUCAUUUAUUUAUGGCAAGGAUUAAUUAAUAUGUUAAUUAAUCA
Molecule: long non-coding RNA, 7241 nt
Filed under: Malus domestica (apple)
Lineage: Eukaryota; Viridiplantae; Streptophyta; Magnoliopsida; Rosales; Rosaceae
Description: long non-coding RNA (MDOM_LNC019992)
Source: RNAcentral